This 253-nucleotide ribosomal RNA is filed under the name uncultured bacterium. RNAcentral describes it as "partial 16S ribosomal RNA". It matches the Rfam family "Bacterial small subunit ribosomal RNA", at positions 524 to 776 of the family's 1533-position model. The record is from RNAcentral.
GACAGAGGGUGCAAACGUUGCUCGGAAUUACUGGGCGUAAAGCGCGUGUAGGCGGCUAAGUAAGUCGGGCGUGAAAUCCCACGGCUCAACCGUGGAAGUGCACUCGAAACUGCAUAGCUAGAGUCCUGGAGAGGAAGGUGGAAUGCUUGGUGUAGAGGUGAAAUUCGUAGAUAUCAAGCGGAACACUGGUGGCGAAGGCGGCCUUCUGGACAGUGACUGACGCUGAGACGCGAAAGCGUGGGGAGCAAACAGG